Molecule: ribosomal RNA, 731 nt
Filed under: uncultured archaeon
Lineage: Archaea
Description: bacterial SSU rRNA
Rfam family: Archaeal small subunit ribosomal RNA
Source: RNAcentral
UACGGCUCAGUAACACGUAGUCAAUCUAACCUAUGGACGUGGAUAACCUCGGGAAACUGAGAAUAAUCCGCGAUAGAUCAUAAUUCCUGGAACGGUUUAUGGUCCAAAUGAUUCGUCGCCAUAGGAUGGGACUGCGGCCUAUCAGCUUGUUGGUGAGGUAAUGGCUCACCAAGGCUAUUACAGGUACGGGCUCUGAGAGGAGAAGCCCGGAGAUGGGUACUGAGACACGGACCCCGGCCCUAUGGGGCGCAGCAGGCGAGAAACCUUUGCAAUGUGCGCAAGCACGACAAGGUUAAUCCGAGUGUUUCCUGCUAAAGGAAUCUUUUGUUAGUUCUAAAACCACUGAUGAAUAAGAGGUGGGCAAGUUCUGGUGUCAGCCGCCGCGGUAAAACCAGCACCUCAAGUGGUCAGGAGGAUUAUUGGGCCUAAAGCAUCCGUAGCCGGUUCUGUAAGUUUUCGGUUAAAUCCACUAGCUUAACUAAUGGGCUGCCGAAAAUACUGCAGAACUAGGGAGUGGGAGAGGUAGACGGUACUCGGUAGGAAGGGGUAAAAUCCUUUGAUCUAUUGAUGACCACCUGUGGCGAAGGCGGUCUACCAGAACACGUUCGACGGUGAGGGAUGAAAGCUGGGGGAGCAAACCGGAUUACAUACCCGGGUAGUCCCAGCUGUAAACGAUGCAGACUCGGUGAUGCACUGGCUUGUGGCCAGUGCAGUGCCGCAGGGAAGCCGUU